AACGCGAAGAACCUUACCUCCCCUUUACAUACUCAGAAGUUGUUAAAAGAAAUGUAGUUCCCUUGGGGGGCAUGAGACCAGGUGCUGCAGGGCGUUCUUAAGCUGGGUCGUGAGAUGGUUGGGUUAAUUCCGGAACCGAGCCCACCCUUAUCCUUAGUUGCCCACCAGUUAGGGUGGGAACUCUAGGGAGACUGCCGGUGUUAACCCGGAGGAAGGUGGGGAUGACGUCAAGUCAUCAUGGCCCUUAUGUGUGGGGCUACACACGUGCUACAAUGGUCGGUACAGAGGGCAGCGAACCCGCGAGAGCCAGCCAAUCCCAAAAACCGGUUCCUAGUCCGGAUGGCAUUCUGCAAUUGGCUUCCAUGAAGUCGGAAUCGUUAGUAAUGUGGUCAUCAAAAUGCCCCGGAAAAUACUUUCCCGGGUCUUGUACACACCG
RNAcentral lists this ribosomal RNA (436 nucleotides) under uncultured Methylomonas sp. Its description in RNAcentral is "bacterial SSU rRNA". It matches the Rfam family "Bacterial small subunit ribosomal RNA", at positions 958 to 1392 of the family's 1533-position model. The record is from RNAcentral. Lineage: Bacteria; Pseudomonadati; Pseudomonadota; Gammaproteobacteria; Methylococcales; Methylococcaceae.